This 848-nucleotide ribosomal RNA is filed under the name uncultured Bacteroidota bacterium. RNAcentral describes it as "bacterial SSU rRNA". It matches the Rfam family "Bacterial small subunit ribosomal RNA", at positions 67 to 914 of the family's 1533-position model. Lineage: Bacteria; Pseudomonadati; Bacteroidota. The record is from RNAcentral.
CAGCACGAAGUAGCAAUAUUUUGGUGGCGACCGGCGCACGGGUGAGUAACACGUAUGUAACCUACCCUGUACAGGGGGAUAACCCGGAGAAAUUCGGACUAAUACCCCAUAAUGAUAUCUGUCGGCAUCGGUGGAUAUUUAAAGCUGAGGCGGUACGGGAUGGGCAUGCGGAACAUUAGCUAGUUGGCAGGGUAACGGCCUACCAAGGCUACGAUGUUUAGGGGUCCUGAGAGGGUGAUCCCCCACACUGGUACUGAGACACGGACCAGACUCCUACGGGAGGCAGCAGUGAGGAAUAUUGGUCAAUGGGCGGAAGCCUGAACCAGCCAUCCCGCGUGCAGGAAGACGGCCCUAUGGGUUGUAAACUGCUUUUCCAGGGGGUGAAUUUCUCGGUCGUGACCGGAAUUGACGGUACCCUGGGAAUAAGCAUCGGCUAACUCCGUGCCAGCAGCCGCGGUAAUACGGAGGAUGCGAGCGUUAUCCGGAUUUAUUGGGUUUAAAGGGUGCGUAGGCGGGCCAAUAAGUCAGUGGUGAAAACCUGCAGCUUAACUGUAGACUUGCCGUUGAUACUGUUGGUCUUGAGUAUGGUCAAGGUAGGCGGAAUGUGUAAUGUAGCGGUGAAAUGCUUAGAUAUUACACAGAACACCGAUUGCGAAGGCAGCUUGCUGGGCCAUUACUGACGCUGAUGCACGAAAGCGUGGGGAUCAAACAGGAUUAGAUACCCUGGUAGUCCACGCCGUAAACGAUGAUCACUCGCUGUUGGCGAUACACAGUCAGCGGCUAAGCAAAAGCAUUAAGUGAUCCACCUGGGGAGUACGGCCGCAAGGCUGAAACUCAAAGGAAUUGAC